RNAcentral lists this transfer RNA (72 nucleotides) under Camelus bactrianus (Bactrian camel). It matches the Rfam family "tRNA". From Rfam's summary of the family: Transfer RNA (tRNA) molecules are approximately 80 nucleotides in length. Their secondary structure includes four short double-helical elements and three loops (D, anti-codon, and T loops). Lineage: Eukaryota; Metazoa; Chordata; Mammalia; Artiodactyla; Camelidae. RNAcentral also lists the same sequence under 2 other names. The record is from Rfam by way of RNAcentral.
GUGGGCAUAGCUCAGUGGUAGAGCACGUGCUUAGCAUUCACAAGGUCCUGGGUUUAAGCCCCGGUACCUCCA